RNAcentral lists this unclassified non-coding RNA (241 nucleotides) under uncultured fungus. RNAcentral's name for it is "sequence contains ITS2". The stretch from base 1 to 52 matches the Rfam family "5.8S ribosomal RNA", at positions 103 to 154 of the family's 154-position model. Lineage: Eukaryota; Fungi. RNAcentral also lists the same sequence under 1 other name. The record is from RNAcentral.
AACGCACAUUGCGCCCUCUGGUAUUCCGGGGGGCAUGCCUGUUCGAGCGUCAUUAUAACCACUCAAGCUCUCGCUUGGUAUUGGGGUUCGCGGUCUCGCGGCCCCUAAAAUCAGUGGCGGUGCCUGUCGGCUCUACGCGUAGUAAUACUCCUCGCGAUUGAGUCCGGUAGGUUUACUUGCCAGCAACCCCUAAUUUUUACAGGUUGACCUCGGAUCAGGUAGGGAUACCCGCUGAACUUAA